Non-coding RNA from Plectropomus leopardus (leopard coralgrouper), 259 nucleotides. The record is from RefSeq and is a predicted model, not a curated record. Lineage: Eukaryota; Metazoa; Chordata; Actinopteri; Perciformes; Serranidae.
GAAGAAAUCGCAGUGAAAACGAAGAGAGAGAUAGACAGAUAGAAAGAAAGAGAGAGAGAGAGACAUCCAGAGGCAGGACUGAGCAGACUGAGAGAAGGCAACACUCCUCACCACCUUGGACAGACGGAGCAAUGCUUACAGUCUAACAGAAGCUCAUCACAUUUCUCCUCCAUCCCAGCCGAAGAAGACCACAGCUGUUCUAACAGGCUGAUAUACAACUGAAGAGGCAUCCAGACAUCUCUGCUUUGCUGACAUCCUA